RNAcentral lists this ribosomal RNA (468 nucleotides) under uncultured bacterium. RNAcentral describes it as "partial 16S ribosomal RNA". It matches the Rfam family "Bacterial small subunit ribosomal RNA", at positions 28 to 507 of the family's 1533-position model. The record is from RNAcentral.
GACGAACGCUGGCGGCGUGCUUAACACAUGCAAGUCGAACGGAAAGGCCCUGCUUUUGUGGGGUGCUCGAGUGGCGAACGGGUGAGUAACACGUGAGUAACCUUCCCUUUACUUUGGGAUAACUUCAGGAAGCUGGGGCUAAUACCGGAUAGGAGCUCCUGCUGCAUGGUGGGGGUUGGAAAGUUUCGGCGGUUGGGGAUGGACUGGCGGCUUAUCAGCUUGUUGGUGGGGUAGUGGCUUACCAAGGCUUUGACGGGUAGCCGGCAUGAGAGGGUGACCGGGCACAAUGGGACUGAGAGACGGACCAGAAUGCAACGGGAGGCAGCAGUGGGGAAUAUUGCACAAUGGGCGGAAGCCUGAUGAAGCAACGCCGCGUGCGGGAUGACGGCCUUCGGGUUGUAAACCGCAUUCGCCUGUGACGAAGCGGGAGUGACGGUAAUGGGUAAAGAAGCACCGGCUAACUACGUG